Molecule: small nuclear RNA, 134 nt
Filed under: Pelodiscus sinensis (Chinese soft-shelled turtle)
Lineage: Eukaryota; Metazoa; Chordata; Testudines; Trionychidae
Description: U4 spliceosomal RNA (ENSPSIG00000019634.1)
Rfam family: U4 spliceosomal RNA
About the family: U4 small nuclear RNA (U4 snRNA) is a component of the major U2-dependent spliceosome. The structure of U4 snRNA from yeast and human has been reported.
Source: Rfam by way of RNAcentral
GCCCACGUGCAGUGACCGUAUCAUAGCCAAAGAGGUAAAUCUGAGGCGUGAUUAUUGCUAAUUGAAAGCUUUUCCUAAUAUCCUGCCAUGUUGGCUUGCAAUACAGUAUAUUUGUCAGAGACUUUUCCCUUAGU